CACGUUAAAAUACCGGUGCCUGUAAGAUUACCGAAGUUAAGCAAUGUCGAGCCAGGUCAGUACGAAGAUGAGUGACCACUUAGAAAUACUAGGUGCUGUAA
Acanthosepion pharaonis is the source of this 101-nucleotide non-coding RNA. The record is from the annotation of a GenBank genome assembly. NCBI's taxonomy places the organism in Eukaryota, Metazoa, Mollusca, Cephalopoda, Sepiida, Sepiidae.